Molecule: ribosomal RNA, 253 nt
Filed under: uncultured bacterium
Lineage: Bacteria
Description: partial 16S ribosomal RNA
Rfam family: Bacterial small subunit ribosomal RNA
Source: RNAcentral
UACGUAGGGGGCAAGCGUUGUCCGGAAUCAUUGGGCGUAAAGCGCGUGUAGGCGGUUCAGUAAGUCUGCUGUGAAAGUCCAGGGCUCAACCCUGGGAUGCCGGUGGAUACUGCUGGACUAGAGUGCGGAAGAGGCGAGUGGAAUUCCCGGUGUAGCGGUGAAAUGCGCAGAUAUCAGGAAGAACACCCGUGGCGAAGGCGGUUCUCUGGGACGGUACUGACGCUGAGACGCGAAAGCGUGGGGAGCGAACAGG